Non-coding RNA from Arvicanthis niloticus (Nile rat), 2247 nucleotides. The record is from RefSeq and is a predicted model, not a curated record. Lineage: Eukaryota; Metazoa; Chordata; Mammalia; Rodentia; Muridae.
CCGCCCGUCAUUGCAUUAUCCAGCUGCAGGAGACAGCGCACCGGAGGGCGCACACUGCGUUCAGGUGGCAGUGUUGAAGCCAAAAGCUUCCAGAAGUGGUUUCUGAAAAAUAAGAAUUGAAUGUAUAUGAGUAAGCAAACACAGGAAUCCAAGAAACCACAGCCCGUGACAGAUGAAGCCUAGUACAUUUCCAGCACUUCAGAAGAGUUUGCGACAGAUCUAUUCACUAUUCAUCUUGACUCCAUCAUGAAGGAAUGAAAUGCAGAUAACUCGUUAGCAAACUUUUGUGGGGAAAAGUGCCUUGUGUGAUCAGAACAAAGCCGUUUUAUAAUCAGAUUUACCAAGCUGAGAAGAGAGAGUUUCAGCAAAUGGAAGCCUCAGCGUUCUGUCACCAGGAAACACUACGUUAUCCAGAGUCGGUAAGUGAAAAGUGGCAUUGUCCCUAAUAGAUAUCAUAUGGUGUGUGGGAGAAUUGCAAAAUUGUUCACAGACCCCUAACAAGUGUGUAGAACAGAGAACAUAAAACAAAGGUAGGAAUUUUUAAAGCAGGCAGCCCCACAGUAUAGCAUAAAAGCUUGGAAGGAACCAAGUAAUUAACAAAGCGAGCUGGGUGUUACUUACUAGUUCAAGUAAACAUAUGUAAUAGAACUAGAUCUUAACGUUUUGAACAUGGUUUCCUUUUCAGUGGGGCAAAGCAUGAAAUCAAAAUGGGUUGUUUGCUUGAAUUGCUACAUGAAUUUUCCAUGGAUAGAGAUUUGCAUUCAGUCUGACUAGCAAGUUGAAAUGUGAAGAGAUACUUUCAGAAUUAUUAGGCUCCUUUCCUUCCCCAGCGUGUCGUAUUUUAUCUAGAUCUUUACAAAAUGAAAGUUGAAGCAGCGCACGCAAAACAUCUGAUUGUGAACGGCAGAUUAUGGUGGUCAUAGAAUUUGUUUUGCAUUCAUGUCAUGGUUUUAAGAUUGUUCUGUUUGAUUACAUUAGUAAAGCAAAAGGGUGCUCAUUUCCAUACAGUGCAUAACAUUUUCAAGAUGGUAAUGAGCAACUAACUCUUAGUGUGUCUGCCUGCUUCCUUUCUCUGAAACCUGAAAUUCAGUUUUCUGAUUUUGAAUCUGAGCUGUUCCUAUUCCAGAAAAAAAAAAAAAAAAAAAAAAAAAAAAACAAAAAAAACAAAAAAACAAAACAGUAAGGCUGUGAAUAUCUGUGUUCCAAAGGACACUGAGAUAGCAGUUUUAUAUUAGUAUGAAUGUUUGACUUCUUGACUUUGCUGAAAUAAGAUUUCAUAAAGGUUGACCUAACAAGUAGAUUAGGAUAGUAGGUGGCUGCUUGAUUUUUGUGUUUCUUAUUGGUCAGUAGAAGUAAUCAUGUGAUAUAUACUUACAAAGUAUUAGAUAGAAAUUUUCAAGUGUCAGUAAUGAUAUAGGUAUUCUAGGCAAUCUCCAUUUAUGAGUGUAAACAUGUAAUUAUGACAUAAACAGAAUUGGGCUUCGAAUUAUAAAGGGUGUCAGAUUAUUUAUUUUUCUUUAAGUAGCCCCAACUGAAUUAAAAGUAGAAGGUACGUUCUUGACUUCUGGCUCUCAUUCUGUUCCUUUUGAAAUCCUAAAAUCCUCAGCUUAAAAGAAGAAAGCCAUAACAGGAAAGCAAUGCUGUUAGUUUCUGUUAGUUGAGUGGGCUGCAGAUGGGAAGAAUAUGUUGGAAUCUGUAAAUUAUUUCCCCAACACGUUAAGGUUUUGAAAAUAUUUUUUCUUAGGCCAAUAGUUCCCAAGGCUUAAAUUUUAAUGAAAAGACAAACAUGAGCUGUGAGAUGCAGAUUCAGCUGUACAUCAGUACACUGGUGUUGCAAAUUUUUUCGAAUGUCACAUGUCAUUUGGCUUAAUUAAGGUGUGCCCUCCUGCCACACAUGCAUUUAAAUGUUUGAGAAGGAGAAAGAAAAUGGUGAGAAAGCGUGAUAGUAUUUCUAGCUAAUUUAUAUCCUACUGCUAGUGUGUAUUCAGUGACUAGUACUUAUUUUCACCUCUGUAUUUCACAUAAAUGCUUGGAUAAAAAAUAUGGUAAUUUAAUAUUGGGCUUAGUACAUGCAGGAUAAGAAAAAGACUAUAUAAAACUUCAGAUGUUCUUCAGACACUUAGAAGCCAUUGUCUUGAGUGAUUAAAAAUGGGAUAUAAUAUAAAUUGAAAUAGUAAAUGUUAGAAAGUAUGUCCCAGAAGAUUCUCCAAUAUCUUCAUCUUUAAAAUUCAGUUUGUCAUUCUUUCU